AUUGAACGCUGGCGGCGUGCUUAACACAUGCAAGUCGAUCGGUAACAGGUGUAGCAAUACAUGCUGACGAGAGGCGGACGGGUGAGUAAUGCUUGGGAAUCUGCCUAUUAGUGGGGGACAACCCGGGGAAACUCGGGCUAAUACCGCAUACGCUCUACGGAGGAAAGCCGGGGACCGCAAGGCCUGGCGCUAAUAGAUGAGCCCAAGUCGGAUUAGCUAGUUGGUAGGGAACGGCCUACCAAGGCGACAAUCCGUAGCUGGUCUGAGAGGACGACCAGCCACACCGGAACUGAGACACGGUCCGGACUCCUACGGGAGGCAGCAGUGGGGAAUAUUGGACAAUGGGGGCAACCCUGAUCCAGCGACCGCCGCGUGGGUGAAGAAGGCCUGCGGGUUGUAAAGCCCUUUCGGUGGGGAAGAAAAGUCUCGACCUAAUACGUCGGGACCUUGACGUAACCCACUAAAGAAGCACCGGCUAACUCUGUGCCAGCCGCCG
RNAcentral lists this ribosomal RNA (496 nucleotides) under uncultured bacterium. Its description in RNAcentral is "bacterial SSU rRNA". It matches the Rfam family "Bacterial small subunit ribosomal RNA", at positions 29 to 517 of the family's 1533-position model. The record is from RNAcentral.